GAAAACCCCGACUUCGGAAGGGGUGUAUUUAUUAGAUAAAAAACCAAUGCCCUUCGGGGCUCCUUGGUGAUUCAUAAUAACUUAACGAAUCGCAUGGCCUUGCGCCGGCGAUGGUUCAUUCAAAUUUCUGCCCUAUCAACUUUCGAUGGUAGGAUAGUGGCCUACCAUGGUGGCAACGGGUAACGGGGAAUUAGGGUUCGAUUCCGGAGAGGGAGCCUGAGAAACGGCUACCACAUCCAAGGAAGGCAGCAGGCGCGCAAAUUACCCAAUCCCGACACGGGGAGGUAGUGACAAUAAAUACUGAUACAGGGCUCUUUUGGGUCUUGUAAUCGGAAUGAGUACAAUCUAAAUCCCUUAACGAGGAACAAUUGGAGGGCAAGUCUGGUGCCAGCAGCCGCGGUAAUUCCAGCUCCAAUAGCGUAUAUUAAAGUUGUUGCAGUUAAAAAGCUCGUAGUUGAACCUUGGGUCUGGCUGGCCGGUCCGCCUCACCGCGAGUACUGGUCCGGCUGGACCUUUCCUUCUGGGGAACCCCAUGGCCUUCACUGGCCGUGGCGGGGAACCAGGACUUUUACUGUGAAAAAAUUAGAGUGUUCAAAGCAGGCCUUUGCUCGAAUACAUUAGCAUGGAAUAAUAGAAUAGGACGUGUGGUUCUAUUUUGUUGGUUUCUAGGACCGCCGUAAUGAUUAAUAGGGAUAGUCGGGGGCGUCAGUAUUCAGCUGUCAGAGGUGAAAUUCUUGGAUUUGCUGAAGACUAACUACUGCGAAAGCAUUCGCCAAGGAUGUUUUCAUUAAUCAGGGAACGAAAGUUAGGGGAUCGAAGACGAUCAGAUACCGUCGUAGUCUUAACCAUAAACUAUGCCGGACUAGGGAUCCGGACGGGGUUUUUUAUUAUGACCCGUUCGGCACCUUUACGAAAAAAUCAAAGUUUUUUGGGUUUCUGGGGG
RNAcentral lists this ribosomal RNA (943 nucleotides) under Paecilomyces sp. RNAcentral describes it as "SSU rRNA". It matches the Rfam family "Eukaryotic small subunit ribosomal RNA", at positions 174 to 1120 of the family's 1831-position model. Lineage: Eukaryota; Fungi; Ascomycota; Eurotiomycetes; Eurotiales; Thermoascaceae. The record is from RNAcentral.